AUACGAAAGGUGCAAGCGUUGUUCGGAUUUACUGGGCGUAAAGAGAUCGUAGGUGGUUUAUUAAGUCGGAUGUGAAAUCCCGGGGCUCAACCCCGGAACUGCAUUCGAUACUGAUAGGCUAGAGUUUGGGAGGGGUAAGCGGAAUUCCGUGUGUAGCAGUGAAAUGCGUAGAUAUACGGAGGAACACCUGAGGCGAAGGCGGCUUACUGGACCAAUACUGACACUGAGGAUCGAAAGCGUGGGUAGCAAACAGGAUUAGAUACCCUAGUAGUCC
This 274-nucleotide ribosomal RNA is filed under the name uncultured bacterium. RNAcentral describes it as "partial 16S ribosomal RNA". It matches the Rfam family "Bacterial small subunit ribosomal RNA", at positions 523 to 796 of the family's 1533-position model. The record is from RNAcentral.